This is a long non-coding RNA of Sorghum bicolor (sorghum), 2941 nucleotides long. RefSeq lists it as uncharacterized. The transcript is spliced from 4 exons. NCBI's taxonomy places the organism in Eukaryota, Viridiplantae, Streptophyta, Magnoliopsida, Poales, Poaceae. The record is from RefSeq and is a predicted model, not a curated record.
UUCCUGAGAACGCACGCGCCUCGCCUCCUCACCUCGCCCUCAAGCCUCGCCCGCCAGCGCCGUCUGCCGUGCUCUCGCCUCGCCCACUGAGCCCCGUCCGCCGCGAGCGCCUCGCCCGCCGAGCGCCGCCUCGCCUCGCCCGCCAGCGCCGUCCGCCGCUCUCGCCUCGCCCGCCAAGCGCCGCCUCGCCUAAAAGAAAGACCACUUUUUGGUGCGACAAUCGAGUCGCUCCGUUCGUCCGUCGUUCGACGUGCGACCGAAACCUACCCCAUCUGCCCACCCGCGAUCGAAACCUGCUGGCUGACGCUAGAGAUCCCAAUCGCCGAUUGUGAACCGUGGCUCUCGCCGCCGCCGCCGCCGCCGCCAUCGCGUGUGUCCUGAGGCCAUGCGACCCGCUGCAGGGGGCCCUUCGCUGGUCGUGGUCGCAGCCAAGAUGGGGGAGGCCCGCUACGCCCCACCAUGGCGACUGUAGCAGGCUAGGUGCUCUCCUACUCGGGAGGUAUGGGAGGGAUUCACGCGCGACAUGGACGACCUCACCAGCGGCUUCCUCCAUUGUUGCGGACCAAGGACUAUGGCAAUUGUAGCCGGCCGGGUGCUCUCCUACUCGGGAUGUAUGGGAGGGAUUCACGCACGGCAUGGACGACCUCGCCAGCGGCCUCCUCCAUUGCUGCGGACCAAGCUGGCAGACUUCAACGUGCCUUGGCCAGUCAAGUCUCAGACCGCAAUGACAUUUGCCGGAAGGUAAGGAUUCUUUUGUCCCCCCUCCCCCUCUCCCCCAGUUUUCUCUUGAGCACGAAGCCAUGAACUCUUGUUAGCAAUUCAGAAAUAGGGAAUAUAUAUGUGACUAAUUUCGCAAUUUAGAACCCAUUGUGGCACACUAAGAAUCAGAAUUUACCUACCAAGUCCGUCUUGGUAAGCAAAAGCCAAAACUGAGUAAUUUUGCUUAUUUGACAAAUCAAUAUAUGCUUUGACAUAGCAGUUAACAACUAAUUUUACCUUGCACUAUAACACUAAGCUAAUAUAACUGUUUAUGCUCUUCUAUGUGUGUUCUGUUAAAUAUGAUAAAUGCAUACACACAUUUGGACGAAAAUACUGCUUGCAUGAACCACACAGUUUCUUGGAAACCUAUGCUUUGUAAUUAUGAAAUUCAAACAAAAGUGGGGUAUUAUCCCGUGGAGUGCUACUAAUCACAAUGACAAGAUCCUUUGUUAAAUCACAGUCCAUUGUAUCUAAUGUUGAGCUUAGGCGGUUGGACGAUGGUGUGCAUGACAUUGUGAUAAGCGUGAGCUACUAGGAUCAAUGGACAGGGCAGAUGAAGGAGCAUGUGGACUGAGCACAAAUAAGCAAAAUAAUUUUCCUCUUGCUAUUGGACAUUGUGGACAAGUAGAAAAAAAUGACCCACCACUCUAUCCAAGUUCCAGACUCAAAAUGUUGGCUAUCAUUUUUACAUUUUGGUUCACUCUUGAGGACCAAGAGGGUGUUGAUGUCAUUAUGAAUGUGGGAGGAGAAAUGUUUCAUGCCCACGAUAUGGUUUGGUUGCUUGGUCUCAUGCAUUAAGAUCUCAACUUUUUAAUAUUUGCAAAGUCUCAAUGAUGGUUGCCAAUAGUAUCUUUUAUAUUCUUUCUUUCAAAGGAGAUCGACCUCUAAUCAUAUAUAUAAUAUCUUUAAUCUUUAUUUGGUGCUGCCGAGGAGGACUCGCCGCAUGGGAGGUGCAUGAAGGAGGAAGGAAUGGGAAGGAGAGCAAGGUGCUAGACAAGGGGAAGACACUAACAAGGGCAAGAAAGAUAAAAUUGGGAACCUUUAACAGGUGUGUCCAUGGCAGUGACACAGGUAAGUGAGAUGGUUGGGAUGGGGUGAGGUACGGUCUCAGAUAACGAUGAUGUUUUAUUAUGGCUUAUGGAAGGGUAAAACAAGGCGCUUAUAAUUGUGGGAUUGGUGUUAGAUGGCUGAAAACAAGACACAGUUUUGGGAUGAGAAACGGUUGCGGGAUUUUUUUUGAUGAAACGGUGGGGGAGCUCCCCACCCCUUUUUUUUGUAUUUCAAUAUAAAUAAAGGAAUCGUUACAAAGUCAGGAACCAAAGAUUACAGGGCCGCACGCCCAAAACAGAAAAAGCAAGAAUGUUACAAAUAAGGCUCUCUCCAACUACUAAGGGCAGAGCUAACACUGGGUCUUGCUUUGUUACAAACUAAAGCAAUUUCCUCUCUGAACUGUCGUUUCCAAACAUGUAUAUUCUUCUGACCAUGGUCAAAUAUAAUGCCAUUUCUUGUGUUCCAGAUGAUCCAGCAGGCAGUAAUGAGGAUUUCUCUAAAGAUGGGGUUGCCAAAUUGUAAGCGUGCUCGUACAAUCAUGUCCACAGGAUUGAGGUUGAGGUCCCACGAUAUGGGGAUUGUCUCCCAACAUUCUUUACUGAAGCUGCAUUCAAAAAAUAAGUGAAAACUGGUCUCUUCGCACCCCUGAGAGCACAUCACACAUGUAUAGUCAUCCAGGUGCAUGUGUUUUCUGCAUAGGAGGUUCCUGGUGUUCAGACGAUCUCUCAGAAGAAAAAUUUAUGGUUUCCCAGGUUGCCUGAUUUCCAGAGCCAUUUGAAGAGUGGAGAGUCAGGGGUAGAUUUGAUGAAAAGGGCAUAGGCUUUCUUAGUGCUGUAGUUUGUAGUUCCCUAAUUGUAGGACCAAAUAUCAUUGAGGUUCACGUCCCAGUGUCUGUUAUGUAUGAUAUUUUGAAGUUCCUCGAGCUGAUCAGCAGCAAUAGGCGGUAGAGGUAGGGGACUGAAUAAAAACUCCAAGGGUUGGUUGAGGAAGAGCUUUAUGGAGCAUUUGGGUUUUCUAGUGAAGGAAUAAAGUUGUGGAAAUGUGUCCUUCGCUGUUUGAUCCAUCCAAUUGUCUGACCAAAGGAGAACUGAGCUUCCUUUAUUGGGUGAGCAAAUGGAGAUAUUUUGGAAAA